Molecule: long non-coding RNA, 1398 nt
Filed under: Homo sapiens (human)
Lineage: Eukaryota; Metazoa; Chordata; Mammalia; Primates; Hominidae
Description: PREDICTED lncRNA (TCONS_00148103)
Source: RNAcentral
AGUAGAGACAGGGUUUCACCAUGUUGGCCAGGAUGGUCUCAAUCUCUUGACCUUGUGAUCUGCCUGCCUCAACCUCCCAAAGUGCUGGAAUUACAAGUGUGAGCCACCGCGCCCAGCCCCAUUUCUUAUUUGGUCUGGCCAUCUUCUAAAGAGUUUGAACCUACUGAAGAACUAUCUUGACUGUCUUGAUGAGGGAGCUGAAGAAAUCCUUCACUGGAGUCUGAGCGGAAGUGGAAUCUAUUUUCCUUCUUCUUGAAUUUGGAAUGCUUUUGGCCAAGAGAAAGAGGUGGAAGUGAUGGUGUAACAGUUCCAAGUCUAGGCCUCAAGUUGCCUGUGGACUUCCACUCAGACUCUCAGAGCCCUGCUGGAGGAUGGAGAGACCACAUGGAACAGAGAAGGGUUAUCCCACCGAGGCCACCAUAGACCAGCCAGCCCUCAGCGUACAUGCCAGCUAAUUACAGAUGCAGGAGCAAACCCCUGGCCCAUACAUCAAUUUUAAUGUCAUUGAAUACAGAGAACAAAUCUCAUUCACUUUGGUAUCGGCUGGAGUCAACAAACAUUUAAAAAUCAUUUACUGCGUCUGAUUUUGGGAUUUUGGAAGCAUUGCCUUCUACAGAAUCCACAGUAGUCCGAAGCUCUUCUACGGUUUUUGUCAAACUUUGAUUUUCCAUCUCUAGCUUCAAUAAUCUACUUGAUGUCAACUCAUUCACCUCAUGGCCCAGGGAUUUCUGGGGUGCUAUAAUAUUGAAAAAUACACCAUUGUAUUUACUCUUUACUGUUUUUACUAUGUUUACUCUUUACUAUUUAAAAAGUUGAGUGUAUAUGCAUUGCAUCAUCUGAUCCUUAACUUUAUUAAAAAUUCAAUGAGGUUAUAUAAGAUAAACAAGAUAAAAGAAGUAAAUCUUUUUUUUCCUUUUCUUUUUUUCUUUUUUUUAAAGAGACGGGGUCUCUCUCUGUCACCCAGGCUGGAGUGCAGUGAUGUGCUCCUAGCUCACUGCAGCCUCAAACGCCUGGUCUGAAGGGAUCCUCCCACCUCAGUCUCCCAAGCGGCCGGGACUGCAGGUACAGCCAGCUAAUUUUUUUAUUUUUUAGUAAAGACUGGGUCUCUGUUACUUAGGCUGGUCUCGAACUCCUGAGCUCAAGCAAUCCUCCUGCCUUGGCCUCCCAAAGUGCUGGGAUUACAGGCAUGAGCCGCUGCACCCAGCUAAGAGAUACAUGUUUAACUUUUAAUGCAUCCACAGCAUUCUAGUUAAAAAAAGCAUAAAAUUUAGAUUGAAGAAAUUGGAGUUCAAGCAGACCCAUUAAAUAUUUUGCUGAUAUAAGAACAUUAGGAUUUACAAAUGAAAUAUGAGACCUACUAUUUCAAGAAAGGAAAUGAAUAAAGGUACUGGAGAGAAU